Pteropus alecto (black flying fox) is the source of this 553-nucleotide long non-coding RNA. RefSeq lists it as uncharacterized. NCBI's taxonomy places the organism in Eukaryota, Metazoa, Chordata, Mammalia, Chiroptera, Pteropodidae. The transcript is spliced from 4 exons. The record is from RefSeq and is a predicted model, not a curated record.
GCAGCUUCGGCGCUUCGGUUACCGUAUCUCUGACUAUGCGGAGCCAAAGGGCAGAACGCGAGGCGGCCAACUCGCUGCUCCGUGGAGCUGACCGUAUUCUGAGACCCAACCAGGGACCGUAAGAGAGUCAAGGAAAACAUUUUCCUCCUCUACACAAGUCAAGAGGAUAUACUAAUAUGGAGAUAUGUUCCAAACAAGCUACAAUUCUCUUGGCAAAACAGCUCCAUCAAGAGUCCCGCCACCUCUCCCUUGGGGGAUUCAGACUCAGACAAGGGAAAAAGAAAAAAGGCUAGACACCUGUCCCCAAUGGAAAAAGGAAGAACACACCUGGAGAGCAGCUCAGGCAAAGGGAGCCAAAGAGGAGAAAAACGGUAAUUGGAGAGGAGACUGCUUGCAAUCUGAUGCUGGUUUAUAAGGUCAAUGGCCAGGACAUCCCGCAGCGCCACGACUCGCCGGAUGGACUUGGGCGGGUUCUCGGUCAGGUAGAUGAGCCGGUCGCUGAGGACCACGUACUUUAAGGUGUGCUUCUCGGAGUCCGACACCACGAUGCACG